Molecule: ribosomal RNA, 433 nt
Filed under: uncultured bacterium
Lineage: Bacteria
Description: partial 16S ribosomal RNA
Rfam family: Bacterial small subunit ribosomal RNA
Source: RNAcentral
AACGGACGCUGGCGGCAUGCCUAACACAUGCAAGUCGAACGAGACCUUCGGGUCUGGUGGCGCACGGGUGCGUAAAGGGGGGGAACCUGCCCUGAGGUUCGGAAUAACGCCGGGGAAGGGGUGCUGAUACCGGAUAAUGUCCUCGGACCAAAGAUUUAAUGCCUUUGGAUGGGCGGGCAUUGGAUUAGCCAGUUGGUAGGGUAAACGCCUACCAAGGCGGCGAUCGGUAGAUGGUCAGAGAGGCUGGGCAGACACACUGGGGCUGGGACGCGGCCCGGACUCCUGCGGGAGGCAGCCGUGCGGAAUAUUGCACAAUGGGGGAAAGCAUGAUCCAGCACUGGCGCGUGAGUGAUGAAGGCCUUAGGGUUGUAACGCUCUUUAACCCGGGAUGAUAAUGACAGUACCGGGAGAAUAAGCUCCGGCUAACUCCGUG